RNAcentral lists this ribosomal RNA (252 nucleotides) under uncultured Lactobacillus sp. RNAcentral's name for it is "partial 16S ribosomal RNA". It matches the Rfam family "Bacterial small subunit ribosomal RNA", at positions 111 to 355 of the family's 1533-position model. The record is from RNAcentral. Lineage: Bacteria; Bacillati; Bacillota; Bacilli; Lactobacillales; Lactobacillaceae.
UAACACGUGGGGAACCUGCCCCAUAGUCUGGGAUACCACUUGGAAACAGGUGCUAAUACCGGAUAAGAAAGCGGAUCGCAUGAUCAGCUUUUAAAAGGCGGCGUAAGCUGUCGCUAUGGGAUGGCCCCGCGGUGCAUUAGCUAGUUGGUAAGGUAAAGGCUUACCAAGGCGAUGAUGCAUAGCCGAGUUGAGAGACUGAUCGGCCACAUUGGGACUGAGACACGGCCCAAACUCCUACGGGAGGCAGCAGUU